GACGAACGCUGGCGGCGUGCUUAACACAUGCAAGUCGAACGGAAAGGCCCUGCUUUUGUGGGGUGCUCGAGUGGCGAACGGGUGAGUAACACGUGAGUAACCUGCCCUUGACUUUGGGAUAACUUCAGGAAACUGGGGCUAAUACCGGAUAGGAGCUCCUGCUGCAUGGUGGGGGUUGGAAAGUUUCGGCGGUUGGGGAUGGACUCGCGGCUUAUCAGCUUGUUGGUGGGGUAGUGGCUUACCAAGGCUUUGACGGGUAGCCGGCCUGAGAGGGUGACCGGCCACAUUGGGAAUGAGGUACGGCCCAGACUCCUACGGGAGGCAGCAGGGGGGAAUAUUGCACCAUGGGCGGAAGGCUGAUGCAGCAACGCCGCGUGCGGGAAGACGGCCUUCGGGUUGGAAACCGCUUUCGCCUGUGACGAAGCGUGAGUGACGGUAAUGGGUAAAGAAGCACCGGCUAACUACGUG
RNAcentral lists this ribosomal RNA (468 nucleotides) under uncultured bacterium. RNAcentral describes it as "partial 16S ribosomal RNA". It matches the Rfam family "Bacterial small subunit ribosomal RNA", at positions 28 to 507 of the family's 1533-position model. The record is from RNAcentral.